This 519-nucleotide ribosomal RNA is filed under the name uncultured bacterium. RNAcentral describes it as "partial 16S ribosomal RNA". It matches the Rfam family "Bacterial small subunit ribosomal RNA", at positions 29 to 507 of the family's 1533-position model. The record is from RNAcentral.
ACGAACGCUGGCGGCGUGUCUAAUCCCUGCAAGUCGAACGCACUCUCGUUUAGAUUGAAGGAGUUUGCUCCUGAUUGAUAAACAUUUGAGUGAGUGGCGGACGGGUGAGUAACACGUGGGUAACCUGCCCUAAAGUGGGGGAUAACAUUUGGAAACAGAUGCUAAUACCGCAUAAAACCUAACACCGCAUGGUGUAGGGUUGAAAGAUGGUUUCGGCUAUCACUUUAGGAUGGACCCGCGGUGCAUUAGUUAGUUGGUGAGGUAAAGGCUCACCAAGACCGUGAUGCAUAGCCGACCUGAGAGGGUAAUCGGCCACACUGGGACUGAGACACGGCCCAGACUCCUACGGGAGGCAGCAGUAGGGAAUCUUCCACAAUGGACGAAAGUCUGAUGGAGCAACGCCGCGUGAGUGAAGAAGGUUUUCGGAUCGUAAAACUCUGUUGUUGGAGAAGAAUGUAUCUGAUAGUAACUGAUCAGGUAGUGACGGUAUCCAACCAGAAAGCCACGGCUAACUACGUG